RNA transcript from Vicia villosa (hairy vetch), 1732 nucleotides. It is a transcript of the gene named plastidial pyruvate kinase 2-like, with no coding region annotated. The transcript has 8 exons. The record is from RefSeq and is a predicted model, not a curated record. Lineage: Eukaryota; Viridiplantae; Streptophyta; Magnoliopsida; Fabales; Fabaceae.
AAUAAAAGAAAAAACAAAACUUUAUUAUUCUUUCUCGAUGCAAACCCGUAAUCAAUGUAGAUUUCUCCAUGGUUACCACCAAUCCUUCUCUGCAAAUAACAAGGUUAGUCGGUUCAGCUGCUAUUUGUUUCACGAUGCAAUCCCUUUAAUGUUAAUUUUUUAUCUCCCAAGACCUAAUCAGUGCAUCAUCAAUGUCAAUUGUUAGAUUUUGAAGGUUAUUGCUUUCGAAUUUCAGUAUUUCGUGUUUGCUCUCCCCAUGUAUAAAUAUGACAGGUUUCUUUUCCAAAUUUCCACACCCCUCUGAUCCUUCUAUCUCUUGCUUCAAUAUUUUGCAAUGGCCGCCGCAAGGUGCGACUUUGUUACUGAAAUCACUCCGGCAAAAGAAUCAUGGGAUGCUGUUGUUCGAGUGAUUCGCUUAUGAGUGACAAGAUUCAGGAGAUGCGACUGAAAUCUUAUCUUGCACUCCUUAGCGGAUUCGGUGAAAUGUGAAGUUAUUGAUGGAGGAGAACUCGGGUCAAGAGAAGGAUUGGGAUGACAUCAAAUUUGGAGUCGAUAAUGAAGUUAAUUUCUAUGUCGUUUCUUUUGUUAAAGAUGCAGAAGAAUUAUUUGAAAAGUUGUGGUGCUGAUAUACAUGUAAUUGUAGAAAUUGAAAGUGAAAACUCUAUACCGAAUUUGCAUUCAAUUAAUACGGCAUUUGAUGGGGCUAUGGUUACAAGAGGAGAUCUUGGUGCAGAACUCCCUGAGGAGGUUACGCUUUUGCAGGAAGAGAUAAUUAGGAUAUGUCGUAGCAUGGGAAAGGCUGUUAUUGUGGCAACAAAUAUGCUUGAGAGCAUGAUAGUUCACCCCAAACACCAACCAGAGCAGAGGUAUCUGAUAUUGCAAUUGUUGUUCGAGAAAGUUCCGAUGGAAUAGUGCUUUUUGGAGAAAAUGCUCACGAAAAAUAAGUUUCCAAUAAAAGCUGCGAAAGUAAUGCACACAGCAACAUUACAAACGCAAGCCUCUUUAUCAAGUGGGCAAAACCCACCUAAUAUUAGUGUAAGUUUUGCUUCAACUGGUAUUGGAUAUGAUAACAUUACUACAAGUGUUGUGAUAAGUUCUUAACUAAUUAGGUUUGUUUUAUUUGGUUUCAGUUCACCAAAAUUUCAUAAGAGAGAAUUAUAAUUACUAUUGUUUUCUUGGUACUAUGUUUAUUUUUUACUAACUUAUAGUAAAAACCAGUUCAUUCUUCUUUAUCAAAUAUGGUAAAGGGAUGACAAUAUUAUUUAUUCAAUCUACAAUAUAUCUUGGAAUAAUAACAAAACACGCUUCUUCUUCCAAUGUUACGAGUUCUGAUGUCGUGGUUCAGUAUUUUUGAAGUUCUAAUUGUCACGGUGUUUCCUUGGUAUUCAGAUGGAGUAGUAAGAGCUUUAUGCCUGUUUGGUUAUGUAUUCUAUCAUGUGCUGGUUUUAUGAAUAUCCAUGACAAAGAUAAUGGUUGGACUUCAUAUUUGUUUAGAUGGGAAGGUUUUAUGUCUAUAUUAGGUGAAUUGUCACCACAUUUUUGGUUAAACAAGUUAUAUCGAGGUUUCAAACUGGGCAUGAAAACAUUGGCAGGAACAAAGAAAGGGGUUGGUUGGGCUAUUGAAAAUGGAAUAGUAUCUUAAUUUGUGUAUAUAGUUAGGUCUAUGGUUUGCAUGAUUUGUUCCUAUAUUAAACUUUGUAUGCAUGUUGGGCAGUGACAUAAGAGAAUAGAA